Olea europaea var. sylvestris is the source of this 516-nucleotide long non-coding RNA. RefSeq lists it as uncharacterized. NCBI's taxonomy places the organism in Eukaryota, Viridiplantae, Streptophyta, Magnoliopsida, Lamiales, Oleaceae. The record is from RefSeq and is a predicted model, not a curated record. The transcript is spliced from 2 exons.
CCCAUGCAUCCCUCUUUCCUUCUCUCUAUAUAUUCGAGUCCAUCUAUUUGACCAGACACAACAGAAUCCAGAUUUCGUCUUCUUCCUUCUGCCUCAAGAAAAUGAAACUAGUGGCGUUUCUUUUGAUUUCUGUGAUGGUAUGUUCAUGCAUGGCAGCUGCUGCUCCUCGCAGAGCUCUGGUUAGCAGCACUAAAAUACACAACGCGGAACAACAUGUUGAAGAGCUGCAGGGAAUUGCAGUAGGGAGAUUGAGUAGUGACAAUCAUCAUAACAUACCUAGACAGUACUACGGUCAGUGGGGUAGCAGUUCUAAUGGAGGCGAUGGUGGUGACACUCCUAAUGACAUAAAAUGGAAGUGACUGAUAAUUAUAUAUAAUAUUUAUGUUGCAUGAUCAUAAAAUUUAUGAUGCAUGUUUUGUAUUGUAAUUGUAUUUUCUACAAGGAUCCUAUAAAUAUUAUGUAAUUGUAUUUUCUAUAAGGAUCAUAUAAAUAUUAUGCUAUCCCUUAAUUCAUGAA